Molecule: ribosomal RNA, 440 nt
Filed under: uncultured bacterium
Lineage: Bacteria
Description: partial 16S ribosomal RNA
Rfam family: Bacterial small subunit ribosomal RNA
Source: RNAcentral
CCUACGGGAGGCAGCAGUGGGGAAUAUUGCACAAUGGGGGGAACCCUGAUGCAGCGACGCCGCGUGGGUGAGGAAGUACUUCGGUAUGUAAAGCCCUAUCAGCAGGGAAGAAAAUGACGGUACCUGACUAAGAAGCCCCGGCUAACUACGUGCCAGCAGCCGCGGUAAUACGUAGGGGGCAAGCGUUAUCCGGAUUUACUGGGUGUAAAGGGAGCGUAGACGGCGUGCCAAGUCUGGUGUGAAAGGCCGGGGCUCAACCUGUGGCCUGCAUUUGAAACUGUUUUUCUUGAGUACUGGAGAGGCAGACGGAAUUCCUAGUGUAGCGGUGAAAUGCGUAGAUAUUAGGAGGAACACCAGUGGCGAAGGCGGUCUGCUGGACAGCAACUGACGCUGAGGCGCGAAAGCGUGGGGAGCAAACAGGAUUAGAUACCCGAGUAGUC